This is a long non-coding RNA of Passer domesticus (house sparrow), 1161 nucleotides long. RefSeq lists it as uncharacterized. The record is from RefSeq and is a predicted model, not a curated record. NCBI's taxonomy places the organism in Eukaryota, Metazoa, Chordata, Aves, Passeriformes, Passeridae. The transcript has 7 exons.
GCAGGUGCUUUUGGGUAUGUAAAGCAACAGGAGCUUUGAAGAUACUGUGAGGAAAACAGCAUGGAGCAUAGAGAGUAUUUAAGUUCAUGAUUUUUGGAUUGUGGGUUUGGGAGUGGUGCCACUCACAAUAACACGCUUGGACUCAGUGUGAAGCCAGAGACUCAAGGACCUAGGCACACUCAGGAGAGGACAAGUAGCCGACUUGCUGGGAGUUGGCCCAUAUAACACAAAGCUCAUAUGUUGUUUUUGGUUUACUUUAUUGCAGCUGACUGAGAGGUUAACAGGCGAUCGUGGCAGAGGUGCUCUGAGGCAUACUCAUUUCAGAUGCAGAUGGAUAAAAUCCAUAGCAGAGCACCCCAUCCCAGGAAGUAAAGGCAUAUAGCAACAGUCAAGUUCAAGUGGGCAAGGCAAUCUGCUCAGGUUAUGCCAAGCCCCUGUCAUCAACCGGCCGAUGGACCAGGUUGCUUCUGAGUAGCCCUCAGGAAUGACCAAGGAGUUGUGGUGAGUCGGGGAGGUAUCGAGGAGGAGCCGGGGUCCGCUCAGUUCUCAGCUGUGCUACAUCACCUCGUCUCCUCUGAGACGACAGCGUCAGUCUCGGAGUUCGGCCGAAGCGUGCGGCCCGAGGACCCAGUCACUCUUAGGAGGCGGAGACGACAGCCCGGUGACAGCAGGAACCUCCCAGACAGCCUGGUGGCCUUCCUUUGCACCUGAUGUGGAUUCUCAUUCCUGGACAUGCAAGAGAUAAGUUGAGGGCUAUGACUCACAGAGGGGAUGGAAGGGGGCUGCUGCAUCAGGACUCCCUGGGAGGGAUUUUUGAGUCAGGCUUGGAGAUGAGGCUAUCCAGGAAAAGUCAUCUUACGGCCACACAAAAGCAAAGUGUCACUUUUGAUCCCAGUGCUGUGGUCAGGAGGGCAGAGCAGUCCCGGUGUGUAUUGUGUCACUUGUCUAUUGUGCAUUAUGUGUUGUUUGUAUGUCUCAUGUCUUUUUUCUUAGCCCUUUGAGUGGCCUGUCAGAAACCCUGGCAUCAUUCUUGGCAUCUGUGAUCUCUGCAUUUCUUGGCCUGGCACCAAUGCCAUAGGACUUUUGUCUCAGGCUCUCUGAUAGGCAUGAGAAGCGCAUCUCUCUUUAGGAGCUUCCGGUCAGAUGUCUUUGAAGGUCUUG